UACGGAGGGUGCAAGCGUUGUCCGGAUUUAUUGGGUUUAAAGGGUGCGUAGGCGGCUUUUUAAGUCAGUGGUGAAAUACAGCAGCUCAACUGUUGAGGUGCCAUUGAUACUGAGAGGCUUGAGUACAGAUGAGGUAGGCGGAAUUUAUGGUGUAGCGGUGAAAUGCAUAGAUACCAUAAAGAACACCGAUUGCGAAGGCAGCUUACUAAGCU
This 212-nucleotide ribosomal RNA is filed under the name uncultured bacterium. Its description in RNAcentral is "partial 16S ribosomal RNA". It matches the Rfam family "Bacterial small subunit ribosomal RNA", at positions 524 to 735 of the family's 1533-position model. The record is from RNAcentral.